Molecule: ribosomal RNA, 254 nt
Filed under: uncultured bacterium
Lineage: Bacteria
Description: partial 16S ribosomal RNA
Rfam family: Bacterial small subunit ribosomal RNA
Source: RNAcentral
UACGGGUGGAGCAAGCGUUGUUCGGAUUUACUGGGCGUAAAGGGCGCGUAGGCGGCCACCGCAAGUCGGUUGUGAAAUCUCUGGGCUUAACCCAGAAAGGUCAACCGAUACUGCGGGGCUAGAGUGCAGAAGGGGCAACUGGAAUUCUCGGUGUAGCGGUGAAAUGCGUAGAUAUCGAGAGGAACACCUGCGGCGAAGGCGGGUUGCUGGGCUGACACUGACGCUGAAGCGCGAAAGCUAGGGGAGCGAACGGG